UACGAAGGGGGCUAGCGUUGCUCGGAAUCACUGGGCGUAAAGGGUGCGUAGGCGGGUCUUUAAGUCAGGGGUGAAAUCCUGGAGGCUCAACUCCAGAACUGCCUUUGAUACUGAAGAUCUUGAGUUCGGGAGAGGUGAGUGGAACUGCGAGUGUAGAGGUGAAAUUCGUAGAUAUUCGCAAGAACACCAGUGGCGAAGGCGGCUCACUGGCCCGAUACUGACGCUGAGGCACGAAAGCGUGGGGAGCAAACAGG
RNAcentral lists this ribosomal RNA (254 nucleotides) under uncultured bacterium. Its description in RNAcentral is "partial 16S ribosomal RNA". It matches the Rfam family "Bacterial small subunit ribosomal RNA", at positions 524 to 776 of the family's 1533-position model. The record is from RNAcentral.